UGGGGGAUAGCCUUUAGAAAUGAAGAUUAAUACCCCAUGGUAUGUAUUUAUGGCAUCGUAGAUACAUUAAAGGUUACGGCAAGAGAUGAGCAUGCGUCCUAUUAGCUAGUUGGUAUGGUAACGGCAUACCAAGGCGACGAUAGGUAGGGGCCCUGAGAGGGGGAUCCCCCACACUGGUACUGAGACACGGACCAGACUCCUACGGGAGGCAGCAGUGAGGAAUAUUGGACAAUGGAGGCAACUCUGAUCCAGCCAUGCCGCGUGCAGGAAGACUGCCCUAUGGGUUGUAAACUGCUUUUAUACAGGAAGAAACACUCCCACGUGUGGGGGCUUGACGGUACUGUAAGAAUAAGCAUCGGCUAACUCCGUGCCAGCAGCCGCGGUAAUACGGAGGAUGCAAGCGUUAUCCGGAAUCAUUGGGUUUAAAGGGUCCGUAGCGGAUAAUUAAGUCAGUGGUGAAAGUUUUCGGCUCAACCGGAAAAUUGCCAUUGAUACUGCAAGUCUUGAAUCGUUGUGAAGUGGUUAGAAUGUGUAGUGUAGCGGUGAAAUGCAUAGAUAUUACACAGAAUACCGAUUGCGAAGCAGAUCACUAACAAUGUAUUGACGCUAAGGGACGAAAGCGUGGGUAGCGAACAGGAUUAGAUACCCUGGUAGUCCACGCCGUAAACGAUGGUUACUAGCUGUUCGGAUUUCGGUCUGAGUGGCUAAGCGAAAGUGAUAAGUAACCCACCUGGGGAGUACGUUCGCAAGAAUGAAACUCAAAGGAAUUGACGGGGGCCCGCACAAGCGUGGAGCAUGUGGUUUAAUUCGAUGAUACGCGAGGAACCUUACCAGGGCUUAAAUGUAGAUUGACAGGUUUAGAGA
RNAcentral lists this ribosomal RNA (864 nucleotides) under uncultured bacterium. RNAcentral's name for it is "bacterial SSU rRNA". It matches the Rfam family "Bacterial small subunit ribosomal RNA", at positions 137 to 1006 of the family's 1533-position model. The record is from RNAcentral.